UGCGAGAUAAAGCGCCGAACUUUAGGUUUGAAAAGAAUAAUUUAACUCGAUUCCGAACGUUGAAAUGAAAAGAGAAAUUAAUUUUAAUACCCCAGUUUUAAUAGUAUUUAAAAAACGUUGUACCGAAAGUUCGGACAAUAUUAUUGUUGUAUUAAUAUGGCCGAGCGUAAAAAAUUAAAAUACACAAAGCACACAACGGUGAAAAAAUAAAAACGUGUCCCGGUAAAUGUUUUCCUAAUCAUAAUGGGUUGCAAGUAUA
Molecule: non-coding RNA, 259 nt
Organism: Cinara cedri
Lineage: Eukaryota; Metazoa; Arthropoda; Insecta; Hemiptera; Aphididae
Source: the annotation of a GenBank genome assembly